This 1702-nucleotide long non-coding RNA is filed under the name Salmo salar (Atlantic salmon). Its description in RNAcentral is "lncRNA (ENSSSAG00000109755.1)". The record is from RNAcentral. Lineage: Eukaryota; Metazoa; Chordata; Actinopteri; Salmoniformes; Salmonidae.
UGAGACAGCCCAGCUAAGGUGUUUGUGGUCUGUGACUCAAUUCCUGUCAGAGAGACACGGAAGAGAAAAAUACUUUCUUGUCUUCGCUUGUCACGGACUUGGUUCUGCCAUCAGAGGCAGACGGAUCUAUUGAUAAAUCAGCAAUAUGGCAUCGAACUUCAUUCCCCUUUAUAUCCUGGGUGUGGUACUGAUCCUCUACAUAGUCAAAGCAGACGAGUAUAAUAAAACAGGGCUCGACGACAACGAUGGCAGUGACCCCAUCCCCACUACCACCCUUACUGCCACUCCUGCUACCCCCUCAGCCGCUCAGAACAAUCCUACAGUUACUACCUUGGUCCAGCCAGACUACCGUGACUCUAACCUUACCAACAACAUCACCGUCGGCAGUAGAGAUGGCAACCAAACCCAAGACCAGAACCAGAACCAAGACCAGAACGAAGAUGUGGGUGUUGGAACCUCGCGGGACGACGUGACAACGGUUGCCGCGGAAACCACGCCGUCGGGGGCGACCAACGGCCGAUCUGAGGAAGUGCAACUUGACGGUACCGUGUCGAAUGACGCGAUUACAACAUCAUCACCAGGCUAUGUAAUCCUGUUCCUCAUAUUGUUAGUCAUUGUCUGUCUGGUGGUGGUUCUCUAUUUCCAGAGGAAGAAGUCCAGGAAGUAUUCGUUUGACCUUGCGGGUAACGAUCACGACACCCCCCUCACCUGCGUGGAACAAGCCGGAACCUUCGAACCCAACGAGAAAGCCGGAGGUUUUGACUACGUGAUAGAGAGCGGUGGUGAUGACCACCAGGCUAUGGGCCCUGUGGCCAAUGGCUCAGCUGGGGAGGCGAGGUCCGCUGGAGAGAACGGAGAGAAGCAGGGUCAUGGUGAUAGUGAUGGAGACAGCUUCGACAACUUCUGUGGCCAUGCGAUCACGCUGACUCCGACCGUAAAGAGGGUGGGCUUUAGCCUGGACAUGAGUGACAGGCAGUCGGACAAAUCAGACAACGGGGAGCAGAAUGGGAACAACAACAACGUUGCCGUGGGGAUGACCCCUGAGCCGCCGGGCCUGACCUUUGACCCUGUAGGUCCAGGUGACGUCUUCACUGAAAUCAGCCUGGAUAUAUAGAAGACGCACACACAUUGUUGUAAAAUUGUAAUGUUCUGUUGUGGUUGAUUUAUAGAUGAAUGUAAAAAGCUUCAAAUAACUUUUACAUCCCUAUUUUUUAUGCUGUAAAUUUUUGAUACCGUAAAUUUUUGAUACUGUAAGUUUUUGAUACCGUAAAUUUUUGAUACCGUAAAUUUUUGAUACUGUAAGUUUUUGAUACCGUAAGUUUUUGAUACCGUAAAUUUUUGAUACUGUAAGUUUUUGAUUCCGUACAUUUUUGAUACCGUAAAUUUUUGAUACUGUAAGUUUUUGAUACCGUAAAUUUUUGAUACCGUAAAUUUUUGAUACUGUAAGUUUUUGAUACCGUAAAUUUUUGAUACCGUAAGUUUUUGAUUCCGUAAAUUUUUUUCGUAUUUCAAGAUAAAAAACGAAUGUUUAUAGUUUUUUUGUUAUUCAUUUUAAUAAUGUCUUACGCAUUGAUAAUAAUCGCAGGAGACGCCAAGUCACACGGCGAUUGUUUUUAGAAUAAAACAUACUUCACAGAAUUCUAGGUGUUGUGUCUUGAUGUGAUGUGUUUGGGAAAUGUGUGGUAAAGUAAUCUGUGGAGGG